AGUGAACGCUGGCGGUAGGCCUAACACAUGCAAGUCGAACGGCAGCACAGUAAGAGCUUGCUCUUACGGGUGGCGAGUGGCAGACGUGUGAGGAAUACAUCGGAAUCUACUUUUUCGUGGGGGAUAACGUAGGGAAACUUACGCUAAUACCGCAUACGACCUACGGGUGAAAGCAGGGGAUCUUCGGACCUUUCGCGAUUGAAUAAGCCGAUGUCGGAUUAGCUAGUUGGCGGGGUAAAGGCCCACCAAGGCAACGAUCCGUAGCUGGUCUGAGAGGAUGAUCUGCCCCCCCGGACUUGAGCUACGGUACAGACCACUAUCGGAGGGAGGAGAGGGGAAUAGUGGACAAUGCGAGCAAGCCUGAUCUAGACCUACCGAGUGGGUGAAGAAGGCCUUCGGGUUGUAAAGCUAAUCUGUUGGGAAAGAAAAGCAGCAGGUGAAUCCCCCGAUGUUCUGACGGUACCCAAAGAAUAAGCACCGGCUAACUUCGUG
RNAcentral lists this ribosomal RNA (492 nucleotides) under uncultured bacterium. Its description in RNAcentral is "partial 16S ribosomal RNA". It matches the Rfam family "Bacterial small subunit ribosomal RNA", at positions 29 to 507 of the family's 1533-position model. The record is from RNAcentral.